RNAcentral lists this ribosomal RNA (582 nucleotides) under uncultured bacterium. RNAcentral describes it as "bacterial SSU rRNA". It matches the Rfam family "Bacterial small subunit ribosomal RNA", at positions 338 to 916 of the family's 1533-position model. The record is from RNAcentral.
CCUACGGGAGGCAGCAGUGGGAAUUUGCGCAUGGACGAAAGUCUGACGCAGCAACGCCGCGUGGGUGAUGAAGGUCUUCGGAUCGUAAAACCCUGUCGUCAGGGACGAAGGGUUGGGGCCUAAUACGCCUUGACCUUGACGGUACCUGGAGAGGAAGCCCCGGCUAACUCUGUGCCAGCAGCCGCGGUAAUACAGAGGGGGCAAGCGUUAUUCGGAAUUAUUGGGCGUAAAGGGCGCGUAGGCGGUUCUUUAAGUCGGAUGUGCAAUCCCCGAGCUCAACUUGGGAACUGCAUCCGAGACUGGAGAGCUAGAGUGCUGGAGAGGGUGGUGGAAUUCCACGUGUAGCGGUGAAAUGCGUAGAGAUGUGGAGGAACACCAGUGGCGAAGGCGGCCACCUGGACAGUAACUGACGCUGAGGCGCGAAAGUGUGGGGAGCAAACAGGAUUAGAUACCCUGGUAGUCCACGCUGUAAACGAUGAACACUUGGUGUGGCGGGAGUGACCCCCGCCGUGCCGGAGCUAACGCGUUAAGUGUCCGCCUGGGAAGUACGGCCGCAAGGUUGAAACUCAAAGGAAUUGACGG